This 86-nucleotide transfer RNA is filed under the name Hungatella hathewayi. RNAcentral describes it as "tRNA-Ser(cag)". It matches the Rfam family "tRNA". From Rfam's summary of the family: Transfer RNA (tRNA) molecules are approximately 80 nucleotides in length. Their secondary structure includes four short double-helical elements and three loops (D, anti-codon, and T loops). Lineage: Bacteria; Bacillati; Bacillota; Clostridia; Lachnospirales; Lachnospiraceae. RNAcentral also lists the same sequence under 1 other name. The record is from RNAcentral.
UGCAGAAGUGGCGGAAUUGGCAGACGCGCACGGUUCAGGUCCGUGUGGUAGCAAUACCGUGAGGGUUCAAGUCCCUUCUUCUGCAU